AGACAGAAUAGAGCUAGCUAGCUAGACAAGGAAGCUGAGGUUGGGGUUAGGGGUUUUAAGCUCAUGUUUUACACCUGGAGAUUCCUAGUUCAGGUCCAAGUGUUUCUAGGAAGAAUAUUGUUAUGUAAAUAGGUUUGUUUGGCGGGAAGUUCGAAUUAACUGACCCUCAGCUGAUUGGCCUAACAAAUAUGGCCCACUGUACUUUACAACACUGUUGAACCAUUAGCAGCCCAAGCAAAUGAUUCAGGCUACAGUAUUACGAUUCUGCCCUCCCCAAACAUGUCAGAAGAAAGCUUUCUAUUUAUUUGUCUGUGUUCUGAACAAACAGAUUGUGUACAUUUAGUGUUACAGUUCUGUUUCCUGCUUUUCGGAAUGAGAUGCUAAAAAUCCACCCAUUAUUCAACUUUGAAAGCGUUUCUUUUCCUACAACAGUAUUUUGAUCAAUGUGUGCUUAAUCUCUUAUCUGUGAUUUCAUUAUUUAUCUUGACUGUGGUAAUUCUGUUCGAUGUAGUCUAAAUCUAGCAGCUCGAAGCUUA
Molecule: long non-coding RNA, 536 nt
Organism: Pantherophis guttatus
Lineage: Eukaryota; Metazoa; Chordata; Lepidosauria; Squamata; Colubridae
Source: RefSeq, a predicted model, not a curated record